This 603-nucleotide ribosomal RNA is filed under the name uncultured fungus. Its description in RNAcentral is "eukaryotic LSU rRNA". It matches the Rfam family "Eukaryotic large subunit ribosomal RNA", at positions 23 to 641 of the family's 3401-position model. Lineage: Eukaryota; Fungi. The record is from RNAcentral.
ACCCGCUGAACUUAAGCAUAUCAAUAAGCGGAGGAAAAGAAACCAACAGGGAUUGCCUUAGUAACGGCGAGUGAAGCGGCAACAGCUCAAAUUUGAAAUCUGGCCUCUUUGGGGUCCGAGUUGUAAUUUGCAGAGGGCGCUUUGGCGUUGGCAGCGGUCCAAGUUCCUUGGAACAGGACGUCACAGAGGGUGAGAAUCCCGUACGUGGUCGCUAGCCUUCGCCGUGUAAAGCCCCUUCGACGAGUCGAGUUGUUUGGGAAUGCAGCUCUAAAUGGGAGGUAAAUUUCUUCUAAAGCUAAAUACUGGCCAGAGACCGAUAGCGCACAAGUAGAGUGAUCGAAAGAUGAAAAGCACUUUGGAAAGAGAGUCAAACAGCACGUGAAAUUGUUGAAAGGGAAGCGCUUGCAGCCAGACUUGCCUGUAGUUGCUCAUCCGGGCUUUUGCCCGGUGCAUUCUUCUGCGGGCAGGCCAGCAUCAGUUUGGGCGGUUGGAUAAAGGUCUCUGUCAUGUACCUCUCUUCGGGGAGGCCUUAUAGGGGAGACGACAUGCAACCAGCCCAGACUGAGGUCCGCGCAUUUGCUAGGAUGCUGGCGUAAUGGCUGU